ACGAGGUUCGUGGUGGUGCGGUGCAGGAAAUCCUGCCGGGCGUGGCGAACCUUGCGGUGCGCCCGUGCCACCUUCUUCUUGGCUUUGCGCCGGUUCGCGGAGCCGCGCUGUUUGCGGGCCAUUUGACGCUGGUAGCGGGCCAGGUUGCGGGCUUUGCGGUCCAGGUGGCGCGGGUUGGCGAUGGUCUCGCCGGUGGACAGGGUAGCGAAGUCCUUCACUCCGAGGUCGACGCCGAUAGUCUCGCCCGUGCGUGGAGCGGGUUCGGGCUCGUCGGUGUCCACGACGAAGGUCACGUACCAGCGCCCGUCCGGCUCGCGGGCGACGACCACCAUCGUCGGGGUCAACGACUCCAGCAGGUCGGCUUCCCAGGACCACACGAACUCCAGCGGCGCCGUCUGCUUGGCCAGCGUCAGCUUCCCGUCGCGGAGCUUGAACGCGGAGCGCGUGUAGUGCGCCGACUGGCCUCCGUUGCGGGACUUGAAACGCGGAUACUUCGCCCGUCCGGCGAAGAAGCUCGCGUAAGCGGUGUGCUGGUGCCGCAGCGUUUGUUGCAGCGGCACGCUGGAGACCUCGGACAAAAACGCCAGAUCAUCGG
RNAcentral lists this antisense RNA (595 nucleotides) under Actinopolyspora biskrensis. Its description in RNAcentral is "sRNA 389". It matches the Rfam family "Saccharopolyspora sRNA 389". Lineage: Bacteria; Bacillati; Actinomycetota; Actinomycetes; Actinopolysporales; Actinopolysporaceae. The record is from RNAcentral.